UACGUAGGGGGCAAGCGUUGUCCGGAAUCAUUGGGCGUAAAGAGCGUGUAGGCGGCUCGAUAAGUCCGCUCUGAAAGCCCGGGGCUCAACCCCGGGAGGCGGGCGGAUACUGUCGGGCUAGAGUCCGGAAGAGGCGAGUGGAAUUCCUGGUGUAGCGGUGAAAUGCGCAGAUAUCAGGAGGAACACCAAUGGCGAAGGCAGCUCUCUGGGACGGUACUGACGCUGAGACGCGAAAGCGUGGGGAGCGAACAGG
This 253-nucleotide ribosomal RNA is filed under the name uncultured bacterium. RNAcentral's name for it is "partial 16S ribosomal RNA". It matches the Rfam family "Bacterial small subunit ribosomal RNA", at positions 524 to 776 of the family's 1533-position model. The record is from RNAcentral.